Molecule: ribosomal RNA, 443 nt
Filed under: uncultured bacterium
Lineage: Bacteria
Description: partial 16S ribosomal RNA
Rfam family: Bacterial small subunit ribosomal RNA
Source: RNAcentral
CCUACGGGGGGCAGCAGUGGGGGAUAUUGGACAAUGGGGGAAACCCUGAUCCAGCGACGCCGCGUGAGUGAAGAAGUAUUUCGGUAUGUAAAGCUCUAUCAGCAGGGAAGAAAGAAAUGACGGUACCUGAGUAUGAAGCCCCGGCUAACUACGUGCCAGCAUCCGCGGUAAUACGGAGGAGGCAAGCGUUAUCCGGAAUUACUGGGUGUAAAGGGAGCGUAGGCGGUAAUGCAAGUCUGGAGUGAAAGGCGGGGGCACAACCCCAAAACUGCACUGGAGACUGUGUAACUGGAGUACAGGAGAGGUAGGCGGAAUUCGUGGUGGAGCGGUGAAAUGCGUAGAUAUUAGGAGGAACACCGAUGGCGAAGGCAGCCUGCUGGACUGUAACUGACGUUGAGGCUCGAAAGCGUGGGGAUCAAACAGGAUUAGAUACCCGAGUAGUC